GGUCCAAUUUUUUAUUAUUUUUUUCAACCAAAGGUAACCAAUCCAAGACAUGUAGUCUGCUUGGGCUAACAGAGACACCCUGAUAUUUAAUAGGGAAGAUGCCAAUUUGACAGUUGAAAAUUUCAGCAUAGACAUUAGCCCAAUUAUCAUUAUCAUUUAUAACCAGCACUUCACUCUUGUAAAAGUUAAUUUUGAGACCCACCAUCAAUUCAUACAUAUAUAGAAGCAACUUCAUGUUUCUAGCUCCCUCAAGAUUGUGCUCAAGACAAAUUAUGGUAUCAUCAGCAUAUUGUAGUACAGCAACA
RNAcentral lists this long non-coding RNA (305 nucleotides) under Sorghum bicolor (sorghum). Its description in RNAcentral is "long non-coding RNA (SBIC_LNC004652)". The record is from RNAcentral. Lineage: Eukaryota; Viridiplantae; Streptophyta; Magnoliopsida; Poales; Poaceae.